This 746-nucleotide long non-coding RNA is filed under the name Elaeis guineensis (African oil palm). RNAcentral's name for it is "long non-coding RNA (EGUI_LNC039719)". The record is from RNAcentral. Lineage: Eukaryota; Viridiplantae; Streptophyta; Magnoliopsida; Arecales; Arecaceae.
CACCACAGGUCUCUUAAAAACCAAAAUCCAUGUUUAAAAUGGAUACAGGAGUCCGAUCACAAGUCUAAAGACCCUCCUGACCGUCGGAUCUCACCGCAAUCAUGCCCAGCACCGACUGUGCCCAUCUGAUCGCUCAAAUAUCCUGAGAAACACCCAAAAAUCAUAAUCGUCCAUGUUGGAUCGUGAGAAACCACUGAAAAAUGCCUCCCAAUCCAUGCAGCCUCUUCAUGGACCGCCAAUCCGUGGUGGACCAUGGUACAUUGCAUGGUUUGGACCAUGCUUGCGCAUGGGCUGCAUGCACAUGAUUGCGCGUUGGGAUGCACGGGUGCCUAGGCUUGGGCCGCACCUGCGCAUAUCUGUGACUGGGCCAUGCACUCGUGGCCAGCCCGGCACCACUGCGCACACUUGCUCUACUGUGACCUCCAUCGCUCCAUGGAUUGUGCCACCUUCUUUCGCACGUAUUUUCUCCAUCUGGACUCCAUUUGAGUUGACUUGGGCUCGUUAGACUUCGUUCGUCAUCUUGGAUCUUGCUGUAGGCUCCUUAUGGGCCGAAUCUCGAGGCAUCAAAUCUCAACAGAGUGUAGGCGUGGUUCAAUAAUGGGUGGUGCCCAAUUUACUUGGUCCAAGUGUUUUAAGGCUAGAACUUCUAAUAUGAUUAGGAGGAGGAAUCCUAAUUUGAUUAGGACAUCCUUAUGUUGUUUAUUUAAAUGACUCUAACUUUACCUCUUUUGAUUAUCACAUAUUCU